Molecule: ribosomal RNA, 253 nt
Filed under: uncultured bacterium
Lineage: Bacteria
Description: partial 16S ribosomal RNA
Rfam family: Bacterial small subunit ribosomal RNA
Source: RNAcentral
UACGUAGGAGGCAAGCGUUGUCCGGAAUUACUGGGCGUAAAGCGCGUGUAGGUGGUGGGACAAGUCUGCUGUGAAAGCGCCUGGCUUAACCGGGCGAGGUCGGCGGAAACUGUCCGACUAGAGGACGGUAGAGGGGGGUGGAAUUCCCGGUGUAGUGGUGAAAUGCGUAGAGAUCGGGAGGAACACCCGUGGCGAAGGCGGCCCCCUGGGCCGGCCCUGACACUGAGGAGCGAAAGCAUGGGGAGCGAACAGG